AUGCUGGAGCAACGAUGAAUUCAAGCGACUGCAGAGAUCCCUCGAAGACUUCUAACGUCCGCGGAAAUCUGUACGGUUGAAGUACUAUCUUGAUCGUUGUAAAUACCGAUGGUAGGCUGAAGCGAGAAAUAUUGUACAUGAUAGACUGGUUUGAAAAAUGACUUUAGCAAUAUUUGACCAUUAAGNAAAACAACGCAAAAGUAUGGCUGACAAGGGNCNAGGUCGCCCGGCUUNACGAUCNGUGGNUCCAGUUUGCAACNGGCCUUGGAAGAGUCUAGCUGGAAGAAAGGACCGCUAGAGUGUGAAAUUCNAAACANCNAAGGGAAGUCUUAGGAAAUUACCCCCCUUGUGGGUUAAGGUUCGCCAGCUGGCUCGCUUUUAAAAAGCAGGAAUUGGAGUUUUACCCGUUCAGGACACCAGUUCCAUGGCCGGCAUUUCACAACCGUUGCNUUCGGGAUUGGUACCUUAAACGUCCUUCAGACUGAACUAGUCUUAAAGGUUAUAGUUCACCACACCUUGGGNAGGAAAAGGUCAACCGAAGUCCGGCAACAGGAAUUUUGGACACACGUCCAAAGAGCGGAAAUUUUGGGCGGAGGGAGGUUCCGCGCAACAACGGCCGGUUGGGAAGGCAAUUGUUGA
RNAcentral lists this ribosomal RNA (639 nucleotides) under uncultured bacterium. RNAcentral's name for it is "partial 16S ribosomal RNA". The record is from RNAcentral.